This 468-nucleotide ribosomal RNA is filed under the name uncultured bacterium. RNAcentral describes it as "partial 16S ribosomal RNA". It matches the Rfam family "Bacterial small subunit ribosomal RNA", at positions 28 to 507 of the family's 1533-position model. The record is from RNAcentral.
GACGAACGCUGGCGGCGUGCUUAACACAUGCAAGUCGAACGGAAAGGCCCUGCUUUUGUGGGGUGCUCGAGUGGCGAACGGGUGAGUAACACGUGAGUAACCUGCCAUUGACUUUGGGAUAACUUCAGGAAACUGGGGCUAAUACCGGAUAGGAGCUCCUGCUGCUUGGUGGGGGUUGGAAAGUUUCGGCGGUUGGGGAUGGACUCGCGGCUUAUCAGCUUGUUGGUGGGGUAGUGGCUUACCAAGGCUAUGACGGGUAGCCGGGCUGAUAGGGUGACCGGCCACAUUGGAACUGAGAUGCGGCCCAGACUCCAACGGGAGGCAGCAGUGGGGAAUAUUGCACAAUGGGCGGAAGCCUGAUGCAGCAACGCCACGUGCGGGAUGACGGCCUGCGGGUUGUAAACCGCAUUCGCCUGUGACGAAGCGUGAGUGACGGUAAUGGGUAAAGAAGCACCGGCUAACUACGUG